GAUGGAGUGCCUGAAUAAAGGGUUAUUUUGAUAGAAUAAAUCAUGUAAUUUAUUUACCUCUAUUA
This 65-nucleotide transfer RNA is filed under the name Gryllotalpa orientalis (oriental mole cricket). RNAcentral describes it as "tRNA-Ile". RNAcentral also lists the same sequence under 1 other name. The record is from RNAcentral. Lineage: Eukaryota; Metazoa; Arthropoda; Insecta; Orthoptera; Gryllotalpidae.